This 255-nucleotide ribosomal RNA is filed under the name uncultured bacterium. Its description in RNAcentral is "partial 16S ribosomal RNA". It matches the Rfam family "Bacterial small subunit ribosomal RNA", at positions 524 to 775 of the family's 1533-position model. The record is from RNAcentral.
GACGUAGGUGGCGAACGUUAUCCGGAAUUAUUGGGCGUAAAGGGUGCGUAGGUGGCCUGACAAGUUAUCAGUGGCAAAUCGAGGCUCAACCUCGUGGAAACUGGUAAUACUGUCCGGCUUGAGUGCAGGAGAGGUUAAUGGAACUCUAUGUGGGAGCGGUAAAAUGCACAGAUAUAUAGAUGAACAUCAAUAACGGCGAAGGCAGUUAACUAUUCUGUCACUGACACUGAGGCACGAAAGCGUGGGAGCAAACGG